RNAcentral lists this long non-coding RNA (558 nucleotides) under Parus major (Great Tit). RNAcentral describes it as "lncRNA (ENSPMJG00000019580.1)". Lineage: Eukaryota; Metazoa; Chordata; Aves; Passeriformes; Paridae. The record is from RNAcentral.
UGAAACUAUGAGGUGGUGGUGCAGCCUGGUGAUGGGGGCAGCCUUCAGGCACAGCGUGCCGUGAUGUGUUACAGAGAUAAGGGACAACAAGAACACAGCUAGAAAAUUGAAGGAGUAUCAGUUUUGCAUUUUUCUGGAGUGAAACACUUUUCCUUGUAAAAUACGUGGUGCUGGCGUUUCCUUUGCACUGUAACCAACUUCAUGACAGGGUGAUUUGGAGCACUCCGGGUGUAACCUGGCUGUCAAAACAGGCUGAAACAGGCAACACUUGGGACAUUCAGGCCAGGGGGAGUGCCACUAAACCAUCUCAGCAGGUGCGAUACUGUCCUGCACCCAUCAGUUCGAAGAUCUGUCUUUUUCUCCAGGACUUGAUGAGGUGAGAAGCUCCCUUGUGACAGCCUCUCCUGCAUGGAUUGGUGACUCCAGGUGAGCAGCAGUCUGUGCCGAGACGCUGGGUGUGCACUCACCUGCCUUCACGUGUGACAUGUCUCAGCCCCUGACGUCCAGGGGGGAGGAUGCUGAAAAGCCUAUCCUUCUUAUUUUGGGUCUUCCCUUUGU